Molecule: long non-coding RNA, 5625 nt
Organism: Canis lupus familiaris (dog)
Lineage: Eukaryota; Metazoa; Chordata; Mammalia; Carnivora; Canidae
Exons: 3
Source: RefSeq, a predicted model, not a curated record
GGACAGGUUUUCAGGCCCACACCAGAGCCUGGCACCUCCACAGGCAGGGUCGGAGAAGGGGCCUUUGGCACUGUCCUCAGGCCUGGGGCAACAGACACUCGAUUGGGUCUGGAACAGUGUGGUCAGGCCAGGGGAGCGCUCAGUAGGAUGCUCACUCUUUGGCCUUCUGACGCUUCUGAUCUCUGCUCUGGGCUGAUCACUAGAGGCUCCCCCCUCCACGGACCCUGUCGUGGGCUGAGUUACAUCCCUCAGAAAGACAUGUUGAAAUCCCAACUCUCUGUGAAUGUGGCCUUACUUGGAAAUAGAGUUUUUGCCACAUGCCAAUGAAGUAGAAACUCCAUCACCAGGAGCUAGGGAGCGGCAAGGAAGGUUCUACUCGUGCUCAGAGGGAGCACGGCCCUGCUGACACCUUCAUUUCUGACUCCUCACCUCCAUGACUGUAAGAGAAGGGAUUUCUGUUGCCUUAAGCCACCCCAGUUUGGGCAGCUUUGUCAUGGCCAAUGCCCCAAGCUCUGAAGCCUAGCUCCGCUCCACCACCUCUAUCCAUCCCACUGGGGAUAGACUUGACAAUCCCCGCUGGAGAAGGAGGCCUGUUGGGGUGGGAGGAGGUCCAAGGGUGUGCUGAACAUGAGGGAGAAAGACAAGGGACGUGCUAUCUCCUGGCAGGACCUCCGCCCUGGGAGGGGUCCAGGGAAGGUAAAAUCCUGUGAGCAGAGGAAGUCUCAGAUCCUUUCGAGCCACGGCCUCUGAAAUGGCUGGGCCUAGAAGAGAAUCAAAUCUCCUCUCUGCUUUUUUGAAAACACUGGAGUUCCUGCCAACAGAAAAAAAAAAAAAAAAGAAGAAGAAAGCCCCCAACACACCUAUUUCCACCUCCGCAUGUUGAUAACCGCAGUGUCCUGCAGAUGACCACCCCCGGCCUCCCCUCCGAGCUCACACUGGGCUCAGCAGGACCCUCUCGUUAGGCUGUAGCCAUGAACCUCCAAGUCCAGAGACUUGCAGUUAUUUCUACUUUUCCAGCAGCAGGAAGGAAAAAAACAACUUGGAUCUGAAAAGCAGAGGGAGAAUUAAGAAUGUACCUCGGCCCCAGGCAUCCGUUUUUUUUUUUUUAACCACUAACUGGGCAAUGAAUAAUUUAUAGCCACGAAUGUUUGUGGGGGUAUAAAACUGUUGACAAGUCAAGAAAAACCUCUUAGCAGCCUGAUGGAGCAAUCCAUCUUCGAGAAACAGGUUUCAAAUGCAUAGUUUGUGAAGAUGCUGGUGGAGGUUGUUUCCCUUCUUUCUUGUUUUUUUUUUCUUUUUUUAUCUAUAUGGAAAUUGGUGGGUGCUGAAAUAUGUUUCACUUCAGCACGAACUUGGGCUGAAUGAUAUCCCAGGCAAGAAUUAAAUCAUCGCUUCAUAGAGCAAGAAAUAAACACCCAAGAAAACCAGGACCCUCAGCAUGCAGGAGGGGAGCAGGAGACUUCCAGAAAGUUGAGCAAACCAUUGCAAUUCCAGGCAGGACGCCAUGCAGAGCUUGGGCUCAGACUCACUGGACCAGGGGAUGACUAGAUCCGGGGAACAUUCCUCCAGGAAGCCCCCAGCAAAACAGGGGGGAUUGUACAACUGAGGCCUCCCAUCCCUGAAGUGUGGGCAUCCUCUCGAGGUCCUCCCAGGUCUGGGCACCCAGAGGUGCCGGGUGGAUGUCGUGAAAACAGUGGCUACCAUGGAGACAAUGAGGCUGAGAAUCUCGAUAGCUACAGGGUCAAGCUUGCAUCAAACACCAGCCAUGUGCCACCACCCAAGGUCCUCUUGCUCAGUCGGCACAUCGGCUCUCUGGCUGGUGCUGCCUGGCCAGUCUGAUCACUCCAUGGCUCCCCUCUUUGCUAGGAGGGCUCCUUGGGAACUGGGAGUUCUUGUAUCUCUGUUAAAAGCCACAUGGCUACAAGGCAGCAGAGCCUGGCCUUGAAGCCGUGUCUUACCCACAUGCUUAUUCACCUCCUCUGGUCUGAUGGAGGCUGACUUGGUGUUGCAGAGAGUGGCAGGCAUUAAGUUGCACCCCCUCCUAUUCUCUGACCAAGGUUAGGGUGGCAGGCUGAGACCCAAGUGUAGACCACAGCCACAUGGCUCCCCUGGGCACAGGAUAUGGGAGGUCGACGCCAUUAAUCAGGAUGGUGUCAGUUACUCACUGCUUCGUAACAAAUGACCCCCAUACUCAAUAGCUCCAAACAUUAACUACCUCACAGUUUCUGUGCAGCAGGACUUUGGGGGCAGCUACCUGAGUGGUCAGGCUCGAGGUUGCUCACAAGUCUGGAACCAAGGCGUCUGCCAGGGCUGCAGCCAUUUCAAGGUUCAACUCACCCACAUGGUGGCUGGCGAGAGUCUGCUCCUCACAAGUUGCUGGACUCUUAUCUGGGCUCCUCACUGGCUGUUGGUUGGAGAUGUCCCUCAGUUCUUGGCUACGUGGGCCUCCCCAUAGGGCAGCUCGCCACGUGGCGGCUGGCCUGCCUCAGAGCCGGUAGAGAGCAAGAGAGGUGAGCAUAAGGGAAGCCAGAGUCUUUUAAAAGGAAAUGUAAGCUCAAAGUGACACCCCAUCAGAUGCACCUUGUUCUUUCAGAAGAAGAAAGUCACUGUGUCUGGUCCACAGUCAAGGGGAGGGCAUCACAUGAGGACAUGAUGGCUGGGAUCACGGGCAGCCGUCUUAGAAGCUCAGAAGAACCACAGUAAUCAACUGUAUUAGUAUCUUCUGUUGCCUAACAAAUUAUCUUGAAGCUUAGUGGCUCAAAAUAGCAAUCAUCGCUUCCUGUUUCUCACAGUUUCUACGGUCAGGAACACAGGAGCAGCAUGGCUACGCAGUUGUGUCUUGGGUUUUCUCAGGGGACUGCAGGUGGAUGGCAGUGAGGACCCUGUCCCCUGAAGGCCUGACAGGGACUGGAGGACCCGCUUCCACAUGGGCAGCCCAUGCGGCCAGCAAGUUGGCACUGGCUGCUAAUGGGGCCAUCAGUCCCCGUCCGCCCCCCACACACACACAGGCCUCCACACUCAGAUGUGCCUGAGUGUCCUCACAGUAUGGCGGCCGGCUCGCCAGUGGUGUACAAACCCAGGAGACCAAGCAGAAGCUGCAGAAGGCAUUUAUGGCCCGGCCUCAGAAGCCACAGAGCAUUGCUUCAGCAGUAUUCUCCUGGCCCUGCAGGUCAGCCCUGCUCAGCGUGGAAGGCAAAAAUAACCAGAUGCAAGAUUCUCUGGGCGCCAUCGUAGGUCAACCACCAUACCAACUAGGAGCUCCUAUUCAACCUCCAAAGCCCGAUUCAGAUGUUACCUCCUCCAUGAAGCUUGGUUUAUCCCUCAGCCUGCUCCCCUCACCCACCACACCCACGGCAGGACUGUCUCCAUCCGUGGGCCCCUACACAGCUUUCUGCAGGCCUCUACUGUCCUCUGCUUCCUCGGCUCUUUCCUACAGUUACCAGUGGGGCCUUUUACACACAGGCCAUGGGGCCCUGUGAUCAAGUUUGGGGUUUUGUAAACAUCUCCUCAAAGCCUGACACCAAGGCUUUCUUGAUUGUUGAAAAGAAGAUGGGGAAAGCCAGCUCCAAAAGGAUUUCCAAAAUGAACCAUUAGAAUGGCCUCUUCCAAAAUGGAUUUACAUCGAUCCUAUUCACUCAUUUCCUCUCAUUUUUCCUCAUGCAUAAUGGCUUCUGAGUCUAAAGAACAAGCUAGAGAAUUAGGCCUGAACAUCCGAUCUCCUAUUAGAUCCAGCAGCCUGAGCCCGGAGGCCUGGCUGUGUGAGGCACUGCCCUGGAGGCCUUGCUGGACCUGGUCGUAUUUGAAGAGCUAUUACAGUUCUCUGCUCCAGACCAGCAUCUGCAUGAGAGCGAGGGCCGAGUCUAGGUUUCCUUACCAUCAUGCAUCUCUGCUCGGCACAGUACCUAGCACACAGGAGGCACUGAGGAGUAAGACCCUUGGCGACCCCUGCCUGGGCCCCCCAGACACCUGUUGUCUGCCCACCAUGUGCCAGCGCAGUGCCUCACGCCUGCCAAUGCGUGAAGCCCUCAGAGGCAAGAGCUAGACACAGCACUCCUGACAGUAAGCCCUGGGAGCUGGCCUGUGCCCCAGCUGUGUAGCACCCUCUGCCCCCUAAGAACACGGUCCCACCCUUCCCCUUGGGGUGGCUCAGAGCCCAGAACACUCCCAUCAUCAUCCACUCCAAAUCUCAUCGGCUGACAGAUGCCAGCCAGCAGGACAAUGGCCAGCAAACACCUUGUAGCCAAAGGUGUCAUGACUAGCUACUAUGGUUUCUCAAGCUUGCCCCUGGGAGGAAUAUUCCAUCCCUGCCAAGAACCAUGGGUCAGAGGCUUCACCCAUCAGUUGGGGGGCCAUCAAUUCUGCAGUGGGUUUGUCUUCAUAGUCACGGCUUGGGGCUAUCCCUGAAAUGUCCAGAAAGGAAAAGGCAACCUUAGUCCAAUGGGUAAGUCAGGGCAGAUCCUCACUGAAAAUGUGUUCUUCAUCUUAAUCUAACCUUCAUCCAGUCAGUUGAGCUCACUGCACACUCCAAGAGAGAUGAAGUCCUCUACCCUGACCGUACAGACCGUGACCCCAAAGUGUGCCAGCCACAUCCACCCAUCCCUCCCAGGAAAGGCCCAGCCUGCCCAUCUGCCCAGGUCUCUCUCUAGGAGUCUCCAGGCCCUUCCAGGCCAGGCCCUUUGCUUCUUAAGCCACAAUCCCUAAGAGAAGCUUCUACCUUCCUGAAGAGCAUGUGCAUUGUCGGGGAUGCCAGUCACAAGAGGAUGCCCACCACAGAGGCACUGAUGGGGAGUGGGAGUCAACGGGCUGACCCUCCAGCAGCCAUCCUGGUGAGCUCCACCCCACUCCCACUGCCUUCCAACUCGAAUGUUCUCACUGGAGUUCAUCAGAUGAAAACCCUGAGCCCAGGGUGGAAAAGCCUCUUAGGAGGUUAAUAGUGAAUGGAUGGAGCAAUAAACGUACUGAUUUAAUCCUUCAAGGGUGGCUAAACAGGCUGCUGUUUACCAAAGUCUUAGCAGAUAAUUACUAACGGAUAAUUACAAAAAGCUGCCGGAUUGCAGCUGCCCCAGAAAUGGCCACAGCCCCAGUCUACUUUGCCAAGCUAAGUAAAUGGGCUGAUUCCGCAGAGAAAUUCCGCAUAAGUCACUUUCUGGGAAGGACACCAGGCAACAAUUUCCACGCCACUCUCUUCUUGCUGCCUCCCUGGCCGAUGUCUGCCUCUGCCACCAAUGGAGAGUACCCUGGGUUAGAACCCAUCUCCCCGGAGCAACACCAUCGUGACUGUAACCCCAUUUCUUAAAUGGCCUGGUUCCCUUCUUUAUCUCCAGUUAGCAGACAGGAGGGGCAGGGACAUCUGCACGAGAGGCACUGUUCUGGCACAAGCUUUGAUGAAGGGGCUCAGACCUGAGCUCUCUGGGAAAGGACGGAGGGCACACUGAGGUGGAUGAAAAGGAGGCCCACUGCUCACCAGACCAAGAAGUUUGAGAAGCCCAACCUCAAAAGCGUUGUCAAGGGGCACCUGGGUGGCUCACUUGCUAAGCGUCUGCCUUCAGCUCAGGUCAUGAUCUUAGGGUCCUGGGAUCGAGCCUCACAUUGGGCUCCCUGGGAGCUCGACUGGGAGCCUGCUUC